This 4000-nucleotide long non-coding RNA is filed under the name Ananas comosus (pineapple). RNAcentral's name for it is "long non-coding RNA (ACOM_LNC022630)". Lineage: Eukaryota; Viridiplantae; Streptophyta; Magnoliopsida; Poales; Bromeliaceae. The record is from RNAcentral.
UGCAGAACAUUAAACCACACAAUCCCCCUGAAACCAUCAGCGAACAAGCACAAACACAAACGGGGAAUAACAAAACAGGGAACUUUUCAAGACUAACCCCCUUUGCAAACUCGAUUCUAAUAAGCAUGCCGGCGAGGUUGGAACCCUGCAGGCCCCGCAUCGCGAUCACCGCAUCCUCCACCUUCCUGUAAUCCACAAAUGCGUAGCUCCGGCCGGGUACAUAACCAAUCUUUUCCAAAUCCCCAAACCUAAGGAACUGCUCCGAGAGCAUGCGUUCGGUCACGUGGGAGCUCAAAUUCCCGACCCAUAGAUGCCGCGAGGGUGGGGCGAUGCCCCACCCCGACGACUUCCGAUGUUGUUGUUGUUGUUGUUGUUGUUGCUCCUUCUCUACAAAUCGGGGUGGGCCGUAGCUGACGCUAGGUCGAUCUCUUCCACCUCCCCCCCUGCCCAUCUAUAUGCAAAAUAGGAUCGAUUCGUAGGUCAAUAAAACCCUAGAAAUUAAUGCAGAUCACAUCAUAAAUAGUUCCAAAAUGUAGAAAAUUGCAGCAAAAAGGGAACAUAGAUAACUAGUUAGACCAAAAAGUGAACAUAGAUAACUACUUAGGUCGAUCUCUUCCACCUCCACUCCUACCCAUCGAUAUGCAAAGUAGGAUCGAUUCUAGGUUAAUAAAAAACCUAAUUUUGAUGCAAAUCAGAAAUCAAAUGCCCCAAAUACGCAGAAAAUUGCAACAACAAGAGAUCAUACAUCACAUAUGAGAUAGCAAAGAGAUAGGUGUUACCAUUUUCUUGGGUUAGGGUUUCUGAUCGACGAUGUAGGAAUCAGAGAUUAGGGUUUUAGAGAGAGAGAGAGAGAGGGAGAGAGAGAGAGAUGUCGAUGCGCGUUUUGUUUUGUUUUUUCGCCCUUUGGAGACGCGAGAGAAGAGGAAAAAAAACCGAACCGGAAUUGGACCGGAUUUGGGGGGAAAAGCCGGUUCACCUAAGAAUUGCUCACUCGAACCGCAACCAAUUGCACUCUAGUCCUCAAAUUUUGAGUAUCUUAACACUUAGGUCCUCAAAUUUUAAUUUAUUAUAAUUAAUGACCCAAAAGUUCUAAAUUAUUACAAGGCUAAAAUGUAUAGAAACCUUUUCCUAGACUUUAAUCAAUUUCGAAAUUGAUCCCCUGAACUUUUUCUUAUUUGAUUUACACUCCUCUACUUUCCAAUUAUUUGAUCUAGCUUCUUCCCUUAGAAAUUUUAAAAAUUCUGCUAGAAUCAAACACCUACGAAAGAUGCCGACUAAAGUAAUUUUUAAGCGCAUACAUUUUUCUUGUGUGUGUUUAUUUUGAUUCAAAUAAAACCUUCAAAAUUAUCGAAGAAACGAACUAAAUCAUAAGUAGGAGUAUAGAUCUAAUAAACAAAGUUCAGGGGGGUGAAUUUCAAAACAGUUUAAAGCUCAGGGGUUUCUAUAUUUUUUAACCUUAUUAUAAUUAAGUCCUUUAUUUUGCUGAUGUGGCAUUUUAGCAAUCGCCACAUCAUCAAUUACAGCGCUACAGUAUCACCACAAUAUUAGCGAAACAUUACCAAUUAAAGAAGAGUAAAUUUCAAAUAUCAUUCCAGUAGUUUCGCAUUUUUUUACUUUAGUAUUCUGUAAUUUAAAGUGUAUCAAAUUAGUGUCCUGNUGUGGUUUCAUUUUUAUCUUUUCAUUAGCUUCUCUAUUAAUAUUUCGUUAAAUUAUAUAUAAAAUAUUCAGAUACCCAAUCUAGGUUUAUCGAAUAUUCACUUGAGUACUACUUAGUUUUAACUUUAUCACUGAUUUAACGAAAAAAAUUAGUAAAAUAGAUAAUACAAAGAUAAAAAUAAAACCACAUGAUACUAAAUUUAUACAUUUUAAAUUACAAGGUACUAAAGUGAGAAAGUGUGAAUCCAUAGGGAUGGUAUUUGAAAUUUUUCCUUAUAUUUUAUUCACAUCAUAUAUGUGUUGUAUUAUUUUUCGCUCUAAAAUGAUACGCACCUAAUCUCCUUAAAUGGCUUUUUCAAAAUCCAUGUUAAUAUAUCAUUUUAGAUUAAAAUAGACGUGCUUAAUACAAAAGUAUAUAAAUAUUGUUCUCGGUCUAUGUGUCAUAUACACGGAUACGGGACACGACACGACUCGGACACGACGAUUCGGCAAAAUUCAAAAUAUAAGGACACGGACACGACAAAAACACGGUUAAUAAAAUAUAAUAGUUUUAGUAUAACAAUACAUAUUUAUGUUAUAUAAUAUACUAAUUUUGUAAACAAAAUUAUAAUUUUUAUAAGAAUGAAAAUUAAUAUAAUACUUUUAAAAUUAAAAUUAUCAAUCAAAUAUGAUUUUAAAAAAUAGCAGUUAAUUUUAAUUAUAACAUGGAUGUAAAAAAAUUAAAAUGAAGAAAAAGAGAGAGAAUACUUUUUAACAUUAGAAACUUUGUUGAAGAAAAAUCUAACAGAGAUCAAAGAUGAGAUAAAUAAUUUUUUUAUUAGGAACAGAACUAUAUAAUUUUUUUUUAAUUAUAUUUUGGCUAAAUUACAGAAAACCCCCCUGUCAAAAUCCGCUUUUUCACUUUCCCCCCCGUCAUUUAAAAACCUAUACUUUGCCCCUUAUAAAAUAAAAAAUGUGCACUUCACCUCCUACCGUUAGGGUUCCGUUAUAAAUUUUUUUUUUAUGCCAAAAAUACCCCUUCGCCCCUUUCCUGUUGCUUCGACGGCUUCCGGGACGGCGCCCUCGCCGGCCUCGCCCUCCUCCACGAGCUCAACCUCCUCUUCGACUACCCCCUCGACGUCAUCUUCCUCAACUCCAACCGCCUCCGCCGCCCUAUCCCCGCCAACCUCGGCAACUCCUCGGCCUCCAUCGUCGUCCUCGCACACGGGCGCAAUCCCGUCCUCCCUCUCCGACGCCAUCGACCUCCAGCAACUCGACGUCACGCACAACCGCCUCACGGGCGCAAUCCCGGAGGCCAUUUGCGCACUGCCCGCGGGUUUUCACAGGAAGGUUUUCUGUAAUUUAGCCUUUUAUUUUUUUCUAAAAUUGUAAGAUACUUAUUUUUUCCAAACUAUAUAUAUUUUAUUAAUUUAAUAAUAAUGUGGCAAAAUAUCAUAUAAUUUUUUCAUCCUUUAACUAAUUCACUUUUCAAUUUCCAAUAGCUUUCUGAAAUAGCAUGACACGUCACAUGCGCGUCCAUGCUGCGUACACGUCCGACCCACGUCGGACACGGACGCGAGGGGCUUUUAGAGAAUAACGAUUAUUUCGUAUAAUUUAAUAUUAUAUUAGAGCAGAAAAUUCUAAGUUCGAGCCACGCCAAUCUCCUAACAUUAUUAAUUUCCUUCCAUUUCAAGUCCACGUCAUAGGCUAGCGAAAAGCUUCGAGUCCAAACUUUUCUUCAGCAUUUAGGCCCCGUUUGGUUCGGGGGAUGAGCGGGGAUAACGAAAGUUAUUCCCGCUAUUCCGCCAAACAAGAUGAAUUUUGGCCAGAAUAUUUUAUCCCAGUCAAGACUUGCUAUUCCCGACUAUUCCGAAAUAGUUUGAGAUUUACUAUUCCACGCUAUUCCAAUGCUUAAUUUCAAACUUAAUUAAAAUUAUAAAUUGAAUUAAAACUAAAUUAUAUAAAUAUAAUAUGUUAUAUAUUAUAAAACAUUAUUUUUAUUAUAAAAUUAUUAAUUGUACUAUAUUAAUACAUAUUAUUUAUAUUUAAAUAUUAUAAUAAAUUAUAUUUAAAUAUUAUAAUAAAUUUUUUUUAUUAAAUUUAAGUUUAAGUAGAAUUUUAAAAAAAAUUAUAAAUUUAUUAUAAUAAAUUAUUUUUAUUAAUUGUUCNUUCAAGACUAACCCCCUUUGCAAACUCGAUUCUAAUAAGCAUGCCGGCGAGGUUGGAACCCUGCAGGCCCCGCAUCGCGAUCACCGCAUCCUCCACCUUCCUGUAAUCCACAAAUGCGUAGCUCCGGCCGGGUACAUAACCAAUCUUUUCCAAAUCCCCAAACCUAAGGAACUGCUCCGAGAGCAUGCGUUCGGUC